This is a long non-coding RNA of Falco peregrinus (peregrine falcon), 3946 nucleotides long. RefSeq lists it as uncharacterized. The record is from RefSeq and is a predicted model, not a curated record. NCBI's taxonomy places the organism in Eukaryota, Metazoa, Chordata, Aves, Falconiformes, Falconidae. The transcript has 2 exons.
UCUUUGGGGAUAGCAGAUGAGAGAUUUCUAUGGGUGGCACAGUAGCAAAACAGAGCAUGUAAACAAAGCUCAAACCAAAUAAACAAAAAUACACCCAGUGCUAAGGGCUGUCUAAAGGUAGAUGACUAAUGACAGGCAUUUGUGAGGCUUUUCAAAUGCUUGCAACCUAUGAACUACCUAUCAUGAGCAAACCUCUACUCAGUGCACAAUCUCAAAUCAAGACCUCAGAGCCUCUGUAGCACAGCUCAGCAUGAUGAGUUCUUCAUCACUGAACACUUUUCAAGUGUUAUUUCAUCCUCUGCUGUAUGCAUAAGGUCAAUCCCGACUGCCAAACUAGCCAGCUGUCUGGAAGAAGGAAAUAUUCAGUUUCUUUGGCUGCAGCCAUGCAGGAGGAUAAACUUAAGACUACAACAGAGGUUCAUUUUUGCCCCAGAGAAGGAAAGCACACAUGAGGCUACCUCACAGCACAUCUUUCCCUGCCUCAGGCAUUAUGUUCCACAUGGUGGGUAUAACGAAGUAUUUUAAUAUAUCAUAGAUAGGGAAGGUAAACUCUCACCUGUGGAACAAUGUGGUGUUACAAUUGGUAAAUUCGACUUGCUCUCAUACAUUCAUAUCUGCUAUUUACAAUUUAUUCCAUCUUUAAUUUACAAGGCAACCUAUCUGCAAAGAUACAUGUAUGUCUUGUACAUAAACCUUACCAGGGAAUCUCGUGGGAUUAUUCUUACACAGAAAAGUGGCUGCCCUCUUCCCCCAGUGCUGAGGGCUGUGCUGGAUUUGAACCUCAUUGUACUGCUGGUACUCUAGCUCUCUUGCUGUGUAUUGUAAAAUUCUCUUCAUUUCAUGCAUGGAUUGCUGUAGAAAGCAGAGAUAACAUUUCAAGUUCCUUUGUUUAACCCAUACAAAAUAAUUAAAACACAUUUUUCAUCUUAGCAUCCCCUUAGGGUUUAACAUAUCGUGAGAAACACUUCCUAAUGUGAAAUGAGCUUCAAGACAAAUGGUCCUGGCUUUAGUUUGAAAGUCACCUCUGGAAAGAAUGCAUUUGUUUUCUUAUUCAUGCCACUCUAUUUCUUUUAAAAUUCUGACACGUUAAGAUAAAAUUGUCACAUCCAAACCUACUCUUUAAAUAUAAAACUGUCCACUUUUAUACAGGUACAAAAGCCCCUUCAGGGCUAGUCUGCCUUUUUGCAGGCUUCCUUCCUUUGGGAAGAAGUGCCUCAGCCCUCCCACACUGCGCUUUGCUGGCAGAGCUGCGAUCCUCCGGGGCAAUGACAAAUUGUUCUCCCCAGCUUUGUACUUUUCUCUUGGCACAUGCCUGAAGGUGAACGCAGAGCUCUUAUGGUCUCAUCUGUGUCCCCCAGAAACCACAGCCAGCAGUGGGCAUGUCAGGCUUGCCUUCCCUGAGCAAGCUUGCCCAAGGGGUGGCUUGAAUAAUUUGUCAUUUCCACGCUGUCUGGCAUCACCGCAAUUAUCCAACACUUACAAAGAAAGAGGGUACCAGGAAAUAAAGCACAAGUAAUAAUCAGAAAUCUCUUUAACACCUAAAAAGAUGCAGACUGGCUUUCUAACGCAUGGCUGUACUUUACGUCACAAGCAUUUUCCCUGGGUUAUUAUUCAUUCUGCCAAGCAUUAUUCAAUGUAAGCAAAAGCAUUGCUGCUGAGCCCUGAAAAACGAAUGGAUGCUCCCCCAAGUCAGGAAAGACAAGGUGUUUCCAUGCAAAAUGUUACAGCUAGUUAAUGAAGCAGCACAUUAAUUUUGAUGUACAACCAUAAAGUUCCCUAGAAAGCAAUUUUUAUCUGUAUUAUGUUCUCACAUCUCAAAGAAACUUAGAUUCCAAACAAGGUGUCAUUUGCUCUUAUAGUAUGGAAUAGGGCUGUACUUCCCAAAAAACUCAGGAAAGGCCUGUGGUAUGUCUUUCAAUAAGUUAAACAAGAUUCUAUUAAAUAGAUCUCUCUCUCUGACCCAGAGCUCCCACACGUGUGUUUAUAAAUUUCCCCAGCCGAAUUCUUUCAUCAGAUACAUACAUAUGAGCCCCAGUCAUGGCACACUUACAUCCAUGGAAAUGCAUCAAACUCCCCAGUUCCCAAAAAGCCCUAUAAGACUUCUGUACAGUUAUGAGUACAGAAAAUUACUCUAAUGAGGAAUCUACUUAAACUUAAUUGUCUCAUUUAAUUGGAUUGUUUAAAUUGCUAAUCAUUUUGUAAGUAUUACUUUAUAAGGUUUUUUUUAGUGGGUAGUUUGCCCUUUUUGUUGUUGCUGGAGGAAUUCAGUAAUAAUUAACUGACCUAGUGUGUAAUUAUACUGCUGAAAAUAAGCUAUGAGACAUUUAAUAAAAGAAGACUAUUAACAGGAUUUGAAUUUAUGACCUUCAAAAUAUGAAGCAAACACUUUAUCCAUGAGGUCACACAAGAUUUCACUACGGUCUGAGAAUUUAUGGUCACUAGAUUAGCCACAGAAAGACUGUUUUUGCUUUUUGGAUGCACUGGGAGCUCACUAAGAAACAGAUUAAAAUAGUAAGUAAUAUAGCAGUGGAAAAAUGCUAAAGAAAGCUUGUUCCUCUUAAACAUCCAGAUCUAUACCUGUGCCACACACUGUGGAAGUCAAAGCUGAUGUUUAUUUUGAGUUUAGUGAAAAGAAAGCUAGAUCCAUACCUCUGUAUGAACAUACAGGUGUUCUGUUUUCAGUAUUUUUAUUCCUGGUGGCUCAAGUACCAAACGAGCACAGCUGUGGGCAUCCUGCCAUGGCUUGGAGGAGGCCAAAGCAUACGGAUAUGUCAGUGGUUAGGGUAUGCAUGACUUAGUGAAAGUUUGCAGUUGUCUAUUUGCAGACAUUCUUUCAUGUUUGGGGAGCUUGCCUACUCUGCUCCUGUGAGUGGUCCAAGGGAGAUGGAGAUACGUGAACACCAACACUCAUAGCAAAGCCAAAGACUUUGGGAAUUGCUGUGUACAGUCAGGUAGCAGAUGUGACAGCACUCAAAGUUUUGGGACCUGAGAAUUUCCCCCUUGGGUUCCUUGUGAAGCACAAGCCUGUAACACCCUUUCCUCAGCUACAAUAGAUGGUGGUGGCAUUUUAAGCUGCAAACUCUGUUGGUGACCGAGUCUUUUUUACGCCCCAUGUACAGGACACAGUUCGAGAUAAGAAAAUUACUAAACACCUUGGCUCUCAGACAGCCAGGCAAUUUGUGCCAUGUUUUCUUUAGCCUUUAGGACAUAAUAUGUUUUACUGAAUCUCUCACAUAGAGUUAUAACACCUUUGCUGCGUUUUCUGUGUAAUAUUUGGUUGUGUGAAACACUGCAUUACAAAUAGGAGCACUACAUUUUUUAAAAGUCAGUGCUCCAGCAGCAUCAGUGUAGGGAAAACAUGACUGUUGUAGUUUCUGUUUAUCAGCAAUCCAGGCAGUUUCCUUGCAAGCUAUCAGCUACUUUGUGUUUUACAGCACAAAGGGAAGCACGUUCUGUGCAAUUGCGAUGUUACCUUGCAGGAGCUGAGAAAGAAUUGCCGUGCUUGUUUCUGAAGUCAAACGGAUCCUUCUCCAAACUUGAGAUGAUGGCUACUGUCGCUUUGGGGCUUCAAAUACUGAUAACUUGUACAUUUGUACAUUGAGACCACAUAGUUACAGAUACAUGGUACAAGGAAAUAAUCUUGCAGCAGAUGCCAAAGAAGCUGAUGUCUCUGAAAAUACUCUAAAGCCAAGUGCAGGCUGGAAAUAUCCCAAUGCUUUCUGCUGGCCAGAGAUCUUUUGCAACACCAAGUAGUCAGGAUCCCAUAGGAUGGGGUCUGGUAUUUGGGUAGAAAGCUCAGAAAGCAAAGGUGAAUGAGGAUACAUUGCGACUGGUAAUAACCGUUCUCAGUGCUUCUCAGGUUUGUUCCCACUCUUCAUCCUGUGUACCUAAGCACAAUAAAACUGAACGUGCCUAAACAUUAAAUGAGAAAUUUGGGCCAGAGGAA